Molecule: ribosomal RNA, 276 nt
Filed under: uncultured Bacteroidales bacterium
Lineage: Bacteria; Pseudomonadati; Bacteroidota; Bacteroidia; Bacteroidales
Description: partial 16S ribosomal RNA
Rfam family: Bacterial small subunit ribosomal RNA
Source: RNAcentral
AGCGGGAUUGAAGCUUGCUUCAAUUGCCGGCGACCGGCGCACGGGUGAGUAACGCGUAUCCAACCUUCCGUACACUCAGGGAUAGCCUUUCGAAAGAAAGAUUAAUACCUGAUGGUAUCUUAAGCACACAUGUAAUUAAGAUUAAAGAUUCAUCGCUGAUAGAUAGGCAUGCGUUCCAUUAGGUAGUAGGCGGGGUAACGGCCCACCUAGCCUGCGAUGGAUAGGGGUUCUGAGAGGAAGGUCCCCACAUUGGAACUGAGACACGGUCCAAACUCC